RNAcentral lists this ribosomal RNA (468 nucleotides) under uncultured bacterium. Its description in RNAcentral is "partial 16S ribosomal RNA". It matches the Rfam family "Bacterial small subunit ribosomal RNA", at positions 28 to 507 of the family's 1533-position model. The record is from RNAcentral.
GACGAACGCUGGCGGCGUGCUUAACACAUGCAAGUCGAACGGAAAGGCCCUGCUUUUGUGGGGUGCUCGAGUGGCGAACGGGUGAGUAACACGUGAGUAACCUACCCUUGACUUUGGGAUAACUUCAGGAAACUGGGGCUAAUACCGGAUAGGAGCUCCUGCUGCAUGGUGGGGGUUGGAAAGUUUCGGCGGUUGGGGAUGGACUCGCGGCUUAUCAGCUUGUUGGUGGGGUAGUGGCUUACCAAGGCUUUGACGGGUAGCCGUCCUGAGAGGGUGACCGGCCACAUUGGGACUGAGAUACGGCCCAGACUCCUACGGGAGGCAGCAGUGGGGAAUAUUGCACAAUGGGCGGAAGCCUGAUGCAGCAACGCCGCGUGCGGGAUGACGGCCUUCGGGUUGUAAACCGCUUUCGCCUGUGACGAAGCGUGAGUGACGGUAAUGGGUAAAGAAGCACCGGCUAACUACGUG